CGUAGGCGGGGAUGUAAGUCAGACGUGAAAUCCCGGGGCUCAACCUCGGAACAGCAUUUGAAACUACAUCUCUCGAGGGUAGGCGGAGAAAACGGAAUUCCACAAGUAGCGGUGAAAUGCGUAGAUAUGUGGAAGAACACCGGUGGCGAAGGCGGUUUUCUGGCUUAUUCCUGACGCUAAAGCGCGAAAGCAAGGGGAUCAAACA
This 205-nucleotide ribosomal RNA is filed under the name uncultured bacterium. RNAcentral describes it as "partial 16S ribosomal RNA". It matches the Rfam family "Bacterial small subunit ribosomal RNA", at positions 570 to 774 of the family's 1533-position model. The record is from RNAcentral.